UCGAGAAUCUUCGGCAAUGGGCGCAAGCCUGACCGAGCGACGCCGCGUGGAGGAUGAAGGCCUUCGGGUUGUAAACUCCUGUCGAGGGGGAAGAAGGGUCGAAAGGCCUUGACUGAUCCCUGGAGGAAGCACGGGCUAAGUUCGUGCCAGCAGCCGCGGUAAGACGAACCGUGCGAACGUUAUUCGGAAUCACUGGGCUUAAAGCGCGUGUAGGCGGGACGGCACGUCGGUCGCUGAAAUCCCCCGGCUUAACCGGGGAACUGGCGUCGAUACGACCGCCCUGGAGGGGCGUAGGGGGACCUGGAACUUCCGGUGGAGCGGUGAAAUGCGUUGAGAUCGGAAGGAACGCCCGUGGCGAAAGCGAGGUCCUGGACGCCUACUGACGCUGAGACGCGAAAGCCAGGGGAGCGAACG
Molecule: ribosomal RNA, 414 nt
Filed under: uncultured Singulisphaera sp.
Lineage: Bacteria; Pseudomonadati; Planctomycetota; Planctomycetia; Isosphaerales; Isosphaeraceae
Description: bacterial SSU rRNA
Rfam family: Bacterial small subunit ribosomal RNA
Source: RNAcentral